UGCCGUUGCUGUUGUUGAAGGUCUGGUGUCAAUGAAAUCCCAAAUUCUAGAAUACACCUGUAAGAAUAAAACUGAUUUUUUUCCCAACAGGAUAACAGGAUUCGCCUUGGAAUUAAAAUGCCUUUCUAAGAAAAUACAUUAUGAGUAUACCACUCCAGAUCUGUUUGGGCAUUUUCCUAAAGACGACAGCCUGCUGUGUGUCCAACGUAAUGCUAGACACUGGUGGCCAAGGCCCUGCCUGGAUAGAGAAUGUCACCUGGGGAAAAAUUCAAACAGCAAGAACUCAGUGUGAGGAUUCUGACCAAAUGAACAGGCAGCACUGCAUUCCAGGCCCCCAAAGGUAGAAGCCAACAUCCAGUUUUCAACAAAGGAACAAUUGGGUAAGUAAGCAUUUUGAUGGCCUCCAAAGCCUAAUAA
This 417-nucleotide long non-coding RNA is filed under the name Mustela putorius furo (domestic ferret). RNAcentral's name for it is "lncRNA (ENSMPUG00000030513.1)". The record is from RNAcentral. Lineage: Eukaryota; Metazoa; Chordata; Mammalia; Carnivora; Mustelidae.